GGGACUCCCUCGGUGCUAGCAGUCGAGCGAGGAACUGUAGGACUCUUCGGAGGGAAGCAGUGGAAUGAGCGGCGGACGGGUGAGUAACACGUAAGGAACCUGCCUCAAGGAUUGGGAUAACUCCGAGAAAUCGGAGCUAAUACCGGAUAGUUCAACGGACCGCAUGUGCCGUUGAUGAAAGGAGCUUCGUCAUCACCUUGAGAUGACCUUGCGGUCUCGCUGCUAGUUGUUGCGUCAAUGGUAGACCGUGUGUAGCAUACAUAGCCAACCGGAUAAGGAUAUGACGUCAUCUGGGCCUGACACCGGUCUGACACUCGUAGGGUCCCAGAGUGCGGGAAUCUUCCAUGGCAACUGAGGUCUGGGGGGGCGCUCGCCGCGGAAUUUAGACGAUUAUCGGACGACAAAAGCUGAUGACAAGGAGCAACACGUGUGACAUUAACGCUGAAGCUAAACUGGAUCUUUCAAGCAGUCCAUGGGAAGUCAAGAGUAGGCAGGGUCUUCACGUUGAUUCGAAUGCAUCUCCCGCACUUCCGCUUGUGAAGGCCCCCUAGAUUCCUUUUAAAUUCAGGCGUGCAACCCCCUCCUCAAGCGGGGAGGUCAUGGGAAAGUGGCAGCCUGAGGCGCGAAAACACCCUUGACUUCCACGUGUGCGGGUGACAUCGGGACGACUGGGAUCACCACCCGUGUUGGAGCCCAACCUUUGGCCGCUAAGUGACGUUAGGCGCAAGCGUCGCAUCCACACUGGUUGUCUCCCAGUUGUUCCGUGUUGAACGUAUGAGCGAAUUCCUCCGUCCCUUCCCGACCUAGGCUGAGUUUACGGAUGUAGCCCUACCGUUAGGGCGAGGCGUUCCAUGUUAAUUCAGGGCAUGUUGGCGGACCCUACACGAGGUGUUGCUGUUGUGCUUCAUGCAAGACAUAGAGCUUUUCCGCGUUGUUGAUCCCUUUGCUGUGUGGUAGCCACCCUUCACGCUCCGGCGAUGGGUGGCGUGCCUCUACCUUUGGCACCGACUUUGUGA
RNAcentral lists this ribosomal RNA (1016 nucleotides) under Exiguobacterium acetylicum. RNAcentral's name for it is "partial 16S ribosomal RNA". The stretch from base 21 to 325 matches the Rfam family "Bacterial small subunit ribosomal RNA", at positions 60 to 350 of the family's 1533-position model. Lineage: Bacteria; Bacillati; Bacillota; Bacilli; Caryophanales. The record is from RNAcentral.